GGAAAGGAAAGGAAAGGAAACGUAUGAGAGGGAGAGAGGAAGAAGAGAAGAGAAAGGGAGGGAGUUAGGCUUGGAUCUAGGAGUCUUUGCGACCGUUGCGAGCUCGGCUACACGAUAGAAAAUUGUUGGUGGAACUUAUUGAGAAGUAAGGAACAAGCCGAGCCCUAUUUUGUACAAGGGGAACCCUUUUGGUACCAAAGGGUUGAGGUCCAGGCGAAGGAUCCAGUGGUGGACGGGGAAAGGAGCAAAGCUAGGGGUUUGCUUGUGAUUUGUAAAGAACUGCAACCCCUUUCUUUUGAGCAAAUAUAUUGUAAUGUAUUUAAGAUUAGGGUGCCAGUAGGAUAUGAUUGUGUGUGUGUGUGUGAAUAUGUGUGGAUUGUGUGCUUGUGUAUGAAUUUUUGUCUGUUUGCAGACUUGUGGCUAGGAAACUUAGUUAUGGUGUGUGGUUUUGAUGGAUUUACUUAGUAGACCAAGUUUCUAUUACAAGCAGAUCUUUAUUUUGAUAUAUAUGUGAU
This is a long non-coding RNA of Prosopis cineraria, 515 nucleotides long. RefSeq lists it as uncharacterized. The transcript has 3 exons. The record is from RefSeq and is a predicted model, not a curated record. NCBI's taxonomy places the organism in Eukaryota, Viridiplantae, Streptophyta, Magnoliopsida, Fabales, Fabaceae.